UUUAGUUGCAUCAAAUUCAACCACUUUUCCAUGAUCUAAGACUAAGAUGCGAUCUGAAUCCAUUACCGUAUUAAUUCUAUGUGCAACUGUUAAAAUUGUACGAUCUUUGAAGCGUUUGCGAAUGGUCUGCUGUACAAUAGCAUCAGUUUCAGCAUGGACUGAUGCUGUUGCCUCAUCCAGCAAUAAUAUACGGGUCGAAGUAAGUAAAACUCUUGCUAAACAUAUUAAUUGGCGUUGACCAGACGAAAAAUUUGCACCUCCUUCAGCAACCCUAGAAUACAAUCC
Schizosaccharomyces pombe (fission yeast) is the source of this 285-nucleotide non-coding RNA. NCBI's taxonomy places the organism in Eukaryota, Fungi, Ascomycota, Schizosaccharomycetes, Schizosaccharomycetales, Schizosaccharomycetaceae. The record is from the annotation of a GenBank genome assembly.